CUUUGUUGAAAAAAUUAAUGUAAACAGACCACAGGUUCGCUUUACUUUUGGGCUGCCCAUUUGGCUGGACCCAGGUGGGGGCCAUUUGCAUCCUGGUGCUGUGCAUGGCUCGAGACCAUUGGUGUAAUUUCUGGGAUUGGUGCCCAGGCAUAUUCAGGAUCACAGGCACUACAGAUGAUCAUACUUCUGUCCACGGGAACCAACAAGGGUGGAGGCUAUUUUGCUUCAAGGAG
Molecule: unclassified non-coding RNA, 233 nt
Filed under: Hevea brasiliensis (rubber tree)
Lineage: Eukaryota; Viridiplantae; Streptophyta; Magnoliopsida; Malpighiales; Euphorbiaceae
Source: RNAcentral